This 465-nucleotide ribosomal RNA is filed under the name uncultured bacterium. RNAcentral describes it as "bacterial SSU rRNA". It matches the Rfam family "Bacterial small subunit ribosomal RNA", at positions 338 to 795 of the family's 1533-position model. The record is from RNAcentral.
CCUACGGGAGGCUGCAGUAGGGAAUCUUCCGCAAUGGACGAACGUCUGACGGAGCAACGCCGCGUGAGCGAAGAAGGUCUUCGGAUCGUAAAGCUCUGUUGUUAGGGAAGAACAAGUACGGGAGGAAAUGACCGUACCUUGACGGUACCUGACGAGGAAGCCACGGCUAACUACGUGCCCGCAGCCGCGGUAAUACGUAGGUGGCAAGCGUUGUCCGGCAUUGUUGGGCGUAAAUCGCGGGCAGCCGGUCUUUUAAGUCAGAUGUGACAUCGUGCGGCGCAACCGCAAGCGGUCAUUUGAAACAGACGGACUGGAGUGCGGAAGGGGAAAGCGGAAUACCACGUGCAGCGGUGAACUGCGUAGAGAUUUGCAGGAACACACGUGGCGAACGCGGCUUUCUGUUCUGUAACUUACGAUGAGGCACGAAAGCGUGAGCAGCAUACAGGACUAGAUACCCCAUUAGUC